AUGACAACGGGAGGAAACCAUGGCGCUGUGGGUACGAUAUGCAGGAACUUUGAUGGUGUUUUUUUGGGCGCAUCAGCUUAUGUGUUUCCGAAUCAUUGUGACCCAGCCACUCUGGAGGCAUUGGCGAUCAGGGAAGGACUAGCAUUAGCCCAAGAUAUGAAUCUUCAUAACAUACAUUUAGCGUCAGAUUGCAAAGGUGUGGUUACAGAAGUCCAAACGGGAAGCGGAUCGAGCUAUGGAGCUAUUGUUCAAGAGAUCAAGAUGACAGCUACUUCUUUUUCCUCUUGUAAUAUAGUUCAUGAAUCUAGGAGCUCCAAUGUGGAUGCUCACAAUCUAGCGAAGCAUGCUUUAAAACUAAGGCCUGGCCGCCAUGUUUGCUUAGGUCAGACCGACGGCAUUUCUUUCGUCCCUGUAAACAUUGUGACGGUUUAA
This 432-nucleotide ribosomal RNA is filed under the name Triticum aestivum (bread wheat). RNAcentral's name for it is "partial small subunit ribosomal RNA". Lineage: Eukaryota; Viridiplantae; Streptophyta; Magnoliopsida; Poales; Poaceae. The record is from RNAcentral.